GAUGAACGCUGGCGGCGUGCCUAAUACAUGCAAGUCGAGCGAACGGACGAGAAGCUUGCUUCUCUGAUGUUAGCGGCGGACGGGUGAGUAACACGUGGAUAACCUACCUAUAAGACUGGGAUAACUUCGGGAAACCGGAGCUAAUACCGGAUAAUAUUUUGAACCGCAUGGUUCAAAAGUGAAAGACGGUCUUGCUGUCACUUAUAGAUGGAUCCGCGCUGCAUUAGCUAGUUGGUAAGGUAACGGCUUACCAAGGCAACGAUGCAUAGCCGACCUGAGAGGGUGAUCGGCCACACUGGAACUGAGACACGGUCCAGACUCCUACGGGAGGCAGCAGUAGGGAAUCUUCCGCAAUGGGCGAAAGCCUGACGGAGCAACGCCGCGUGAGUGAUGAAGGUCUUCGGAUCGUAAAACUCUGUUAUUAGGGAAGAACAUAUGUGUAAGUAACUGUGCACAUCUUGACGGUACCUAAUCAGAAAGCCACGGCUAACUACGUGCCAGCAGCCGCGGUAAUACGUAGGUGGCAAGCGUUAUCCGGAAUUAUUGGGCGUAAAGCGCGCGUAGGCGGUUUUUUAAGUCUGAUGUGAAAGCCCACGGCUCAACCGUGGAGGGUCAUUGGAAACUGGAAAACUUGAGUGCAGAAGAGGAAAGUGGAAUUCCAUGUGUAGCGGUGAAAUGCGCAGAGAUAUGGAGGAACACCAGUGGCGAAGGCGACUUUCUGGUCUGUAACUGACGCUGAUGUGCGAAAGCGUGGGGAUCAAACAGGAUUAGAUACCCUGGUAGUCCACGCCGUAAACGAUGAGUGCUAAGUGUUAGGGGGUUUCCGCCCCUUAGUGCUGCAGCUAACGCAUUAAGCACUCCGCCUGGGGAGUACGACCGCAAGGUUGAAACUCAAAGGAAUUGACGGGGACCCGCACAAGCGGUGGAGCAUGUGGUUUAAUUCGAAGCAACGCGAAGAACCUUACCAAAUCUUGACAUCCUUUGACAACUCUAGAGAUAGAGCUUUCCCCUUCGGGGGACAAAGUGACAGGUGGUGCAUGGUUGUUGUCAGCUCGUGUCGUGAGAUGUUGGGUUAAGUCCCGCAACGAGCGCAACCCUUAAGCUUAGUUGCCAUCAUUAAGUUGGGCACUCUAAGUUGACUGCCGGUGACAAACCGGAGGAAGGUGGGGAUGACGUCAAAUCAUCAUGCCCCUUAUGAUUUGGGCUACACCCGUUGCUACAAUGGACAAUACAAAGGGCAGCGAAACCGCGAGGUCAAGCAAAUCCCACAAAGUUGUUCUCAGUUCGGAGAGUCGUGUGCCACCUCGACUACAUGAAGCUGGAAUCGCUUGUAAUCGUAGAUCAGCAUGCUCCGGCUGAAUAUUUUCCAGGGUCU
RNAcentral lists this ribosomal RNA (1375 nucleotides) under uncultured bacterium. RNAcentral describes it as "bacterial SSU rRNA". It matches the Rfam family "Bacterial small subunit ribosomal RNA", at positions 28 to 1381 of the family's 1533-position model. The record is from RNAcentral.